UACGUAUGGGGCAAGCGUUAUCCGGAUUUACUGGGUGUAAAGGGAGCGUAGGCGGCCUGGCAAGCCUGAUGUGAAAUACCGGGGCCCAACCCCGGGGCUGCAUUGGGAACUGCCAGGCUGGAGUGCCGGAGAGGCAGGCGGAAUUCCUAGUGUAGCGGUGAAAUGCGUAGAUAUUAGGAGGAACACCAGUGGCGAAGGCGGCCUGCUGGACGGUGACUGACGCUGAGGCACGAAAGCGUGGGUAGCAAACAGG
Molecule: ribosomal RNA, 253 nt
Filed under: uncultured bacterium
Lineage: Bacteria
Description: partial 16S ribosomal RNA
Rfam family: Bacterial small subunit ribosomal RNA
Source: RNAcentral